AUGCCAAGUCAAGCAACCACUCAUACUCUUUGUAAUCAGAAAACUAGAAGUAGUGGUAUAUGCAAUGAAAAAAAUAACGUUAGUCAGAAUAAAAUGAAGGAAGGUCAAAAUAAGGUAAACAAUAAACAUGAAAAAGCGGAUAUUAAGGAUCUUACAGGGAAGACGGGGAAGAAUGGCGAAGCAAAAGCAAAAGCUGAAGAGCACAAGUGGUCUGGAAAAUGCACUGAUGAUUCUGAGGAUCAACCAACAGGGAACCAAAUAAGGUUUAGGCCGGAGAAGUGGAGCGCCGUUGACUGUCGUAGAAGCUCUGGUUUAGGGUUUUUUCGUGAAGAAAAUCUGACUGAGAAUAGAAAAGUGAUACGAAUUGUGUUUUGA
Molecule: non-coding RNA, 375 nt
Organism: Vicia faba (fava bean)
Lineage: Eukaryota; Viridiplantae; Streptophyta; Magnoliopsida; Fabales; Fabaceae
Source: the annotation of a GenBank genome assembly